GUCUACGGCCAUGCCAUCCUGAACAAACCCAAUCCUGUCUGAUCUCAGAAGGUAAGCAGGGUUGGGCCUGGUUAGUACCUGGAUGAGAGACCACCUAGGAAGACCAAGUGCUAUAGGCA
Molecule: ribosomal RNA, 119 nt
Filed under: Pteropus alecto (black flying fox)
Lineage: Eukaryota; Metazoa; Chordata; Mammalia; Chiroptera; Pteropodidae
Source: RNAcentral